This 2282-nucleotide long non-coding RNA is filed under the name Capsella rubella. Its description in RNAcentral is "long non-coding RNA (CRUB_LNC004587)". Lineage: Eukaryota; Viridiplantae; Streptophyta; Magnoliopsida; Brassicales; Brassicaceae. The record is from RNAcentral.
AUUCAUACAAGUUGUUUACAGAGAUUCCAAUGUAACCAGGGAAACUAAAUGCGACUGUGAGAGAGGCAACUUCUUCUUUUUAAUGACUUCUCUGUUUUUUUUUUUUUCUUUAAGGUAAAGUAAACAGUCAAUUCAAAUACAGUAGAGUAAUUGGUUUUUUACCUGAUGGAAUAAAGUCAAACUCAUGUAUAGUGCCAUCGGGAUACUGGUAACAAGCAAAGAGAAGUCUGAAAUUCUUAUUUUUGAGUCCACAUGAUGAUAUGAUUCUUUCUAGGGACUUGCACUUUCAUGAUUAAAAGAUGAACCAGAUGCUUCCAUUUGAGCUACCUACAGAAUAUCUACGCUAUGUAUGGGGCAGCACAUGUAUCAUAAAACCUAUCAUUCAUAAUCAAAGCAAAUGACAUGUAAUUCUUGAUCAAAAGAUGUUCAUUUGCUCUUUUGAAGUUUUCAACAACGGACGUACAUCAAUAUUACCUGAAUUCUUUGUGGCCGAGUGAAACCGAGGACCAAAGACCCAUUUGGGACAAAAGACCUAACAGAAUAAGCAUGUAAGCGCAAUGAAAUUUUGAAAACAAAAAACAUUAAACAUACUAGGCCACUAGUAUAUCCCCAUGAUGGUAACUACAGUUCCAAAUAGAGAUGCGGACCAACUUGAAACACUUCCUGCACACGGAGCAUCUGAGAGUUUAAACAAAUAGAGAUCACCAAGAGCUCACAAUACGUUUUGCAGGAGAUGUGGAGUUUUGUUCUGCAAAGAAAGGGAGAGGUUAUAACAGAGUCCAACAGUGCAAAAUGAAGUAAUGGAACAAUUUGUUUGGAAAAUUCAAUUUAAGAAUGGAGCUGAAAGAAGACACAACACGAGGGAGGAUAUAAUUCCAAAAACCAAGAACCCGUACUCAUGUGUGUCAAACAAACCUUUUAACAAAAACCAAACCCUUAGUUGACUGGCAUAAACAAUUCUUUCUACCUUAAUCGGAAGAGGUGAGAGCUAGAAUUGCAAAAAAAAAUCAAGUCAAAUGGAGAGUCAAAGACAACCUACACUAGUCCAUAUAAGCGAAUUAGGAAAUCACUGGAAUUUCAAUAAACUCACAUUCUGGAGAAAUCUAAACUCAAAAUCUUCUUAUUCGACCAAAAAAGCUUACAUCGUUAAAAAGUAACAAAACGUUGUUUACAUCCCAGUACAGAAAAUACUGACCAUUACCUAGGGAGUAUCAUCAAGGCCCUGUCACAUGAAAGACUUUAUACAAGAAUGCGUAUAAUAUGGAAUGUGAAAAUAGCUUUGUAUUUCUAUAUCCUAUUCCCAUGUCAAAUGCAUGUACCUAUCAUAUGAUCAACCAAGAAACAAUCUUAAGAAAUGCAAGAAUGAAACGUGAGACAGAGCAAGAAUAUCUACCUCAGAUAUACUUCGACCUGAUUUGGAAGAGCCAGUAUCCGAGUCCUGAUAGCCGUCGGCAUUCUUCUGCUUCCUAGUUGCAAUUGAAGACGAGGCAGUCCAAAAAUGAGUUGAGGUUGAGCAGUUCUGGGAUUAAACAUUUUUACCAUGUUAUAGGUAAAUUAACUGCUUAGCUAUCAGUAUUGCGGUUCAACGCAAAUCCGUCCUUAAAGCUAUGCCAUAAAAAAUAAAUCCUAGCACUGGUAAUAUAAUCAUGGGAUGACACAAAAAAGGAUUGCAAACUAAGAUUUUUUGAAGGAAAAACAUCAGCUUCCUUGGAAACGAAACAGAUGAACAAAGCGUCGUUAUUGAUAAAGAAUAUAGAGGAAAGCCUUAAUACGACUAUUUUAUUUCUCAGAGGAAUUUCAACGAACACCUAAUACGCAGAAAUUCUAUACACAGUUACCCUAAAAAUUGAGACUUUAAAAAAAAAAAAAAAACGAAUUCUAGCUGUAUCUCAAUGCAGAGGAACCGAAAAAAUUUGAAAUCCACUGCAAAUUGGACAAAGAAACGAAGCAACAAGUCUCUCAGAAUCCAAGACAAAUCAAUUUCCUAAGUUUCAGUCGGUACGCCACAUACCUUACCUUAUCGGACCCCGGAGGAUAAGAAGAAGAGGAAGUUGUCACAUAUUUAGGAGCCGGGGAGCUGUGACGAGUUUCGCCGGCGUUCAGAGGACAAAUCGUUUGACAAGAUGACAAAUUAGAUAUAAGGAAAAGGGCGCCAUCAUCAUACAACGCAUUUAAUAUUAUUAUAGAUUUUGAGUAAAAAAAAAAAGAAAAGGAAAACGAAUAUAAUAUAAUAAUAUUGAAAGUAAAAUAAAAGAGUAAAACGCAAUAAUAAUCUUAAACCC